CGGCGGACGGGUGAGUAACGCGUGGGCAACCUGCCUUACACAGGGGGAUAACAGUUAGAAAUGACUGCUAAUACCGCAUAAGACCACAAAACCGCAUGGUUUGGUGGUAAAAACUCCGGUGGUGUAAGAUGGACCCGCGUCUGAUUAGCUUGUUGGCGGGGUAGGGGCCCACCAAGGCGACGAUCAGUAGCCGGCCUGAGAGGGUGGACGGCCACAUUGGGACUGAGACACGGCCCAAACUCCUACGGAAGGCAGCAG
Molecule: ribosomal RNA, 258 nt
Filed under: uncultured bacterium
Lineage: Bacteria
Description: partial 16S ribosomal RNA
Rfam family: Bacterial small subunit ribosomal RNA
Source: RNAcentral